Humulus lupulus (European hop) is the source of this 1925-nucleotide long non-coding RNA. RefSeq lists it as uncharacterized. The transcript is spliced from 6 exons. Lineage: Eukaryota; Viridiplantae; Streptophyta; Magnoliopsida; Rosales; Cannabaceae. The record is from RefSeq and is a predicted model, not a curated record.
AAAAGGUUUUUUACUAUUUUUGAUGGAGAGAGAGUGUCGGUUACCCUUCUCCUUCAGCCUUAACAAAAUCUCAAACAUUUCUGCAUACAUAAAACCCCUUUACUCUCAUUUUCUACUUCCACCAUUUUCGUUUCAUGCAUGGAGGCAAAGUUGCAUUCAAAACUUAAAGAAGCUAUAUUUACCAUUUUCCUUUGAUACUCAGACAACUAUAUAGAUCACUGAAAAUGAGGAAAAAACGUGGUGGGAUUUCGAAGAAGGUCUCUAAAUCCAAGAGUAAUGAGAAGAUGAAAAAACUAAUGAAAGCGAUGACACAAUAGCGAGCUCAAAUGGAAACUUUAUUGAGGGAACAGAGAUGGCUGCAAGUAUCUUUGAUGCAAAAGGAUCUUGCUAAGAAAUGGAAAGAAGGUUUGAACAGUGCUUCAACCAGCAAGUCUAAGAAGAGAAAGCAAGUACCCAUAUCAGAUUUGGACGAGUCUUCUAGUGGUGAGCAAAUGGAAGAUGAUUUUGAAGAGGAAGAUGAUGGGGUAGAGGUAGAUUCCUGAUUAGUGGAUGAACAUAAAGGGGCAAUUGUGACUAGAUGCUCGUUUGAGAGGGUGAGUCAAAUUGUGUGCAUGAUGUUUGAGGAACAAAAAUCAAUGGUCAGAGUGGCUGGAAUUGGUUCAUUUCUGAGGGAAGAUUUCCCUAACAUCUACAAUCCUUUAGUGCAGUAGCUAGUGGACAGUGUAGAUGUCAAUAAGAGCUGCCUAAAAAUAUAUAGGAAAGAGUUGACGAUAUGUGGGAAGAUAUUUCAGCAGGUGAUGGAUAUACCUGAUGGGGGUGAUGUAACCAAAGCUAAUGAGAAGGUUCUGCAGUCAGAGUUGUAGUCUAGGUUUCUUAGUAAGAAGCAAUGAGUUGAAAUGUCAGAUUUAGAACUUCAGCUAGUGAACUACAAGGAAGCAGGCAAUUAUUUUUUAUCUGGUAUGAUCCUAUUCAUUGUGGGAAGCGUAUUGGUGCCAUGAUCUGGGAAUCAACUGUGUACGGGAUAUAUUAAUGUUGUGUAUGAUGUGAGCAGAAUUACUUUCCACAACUGGGCCACCCACAGUUUUGGGGAUCUUAUGAAGUCUAUUGGCAAGUACCAAGCUGGCCAGUUGGUCCACCUAAGUGGAUGCACGACUAUCCUCCAGCUUUUCUAUAUGCAUCAUCUCGAAGUUCCAGGGAUGUAUGUUGGCCGAUCCAUUUCACCAAUCCAAUAAGUUAUCUUAUGAACAAUGGUGGCUACAGUGCCUGCAAAGAGGUAAUUCCAUGUAGAUAUAAUUUUUUUUAUUUUUUUUAAUAUUCCAUGUUGAUAUUGCAUUUACAGAAUUGUUGAUGGAGUUUUUCCUGGGCCGAGUGGAAAAGCGAGUAGGAGUUUCUCGGACACAAUGUUGCUGGAAAAGGUUACCAAAUUUGGUUAUCAGAUAGAAGCACUAACUUGCAUUGAUUGUUGCUCUACCUGAUACUAUUGAGGGUAUUGUAUCAAGAGAGUUAAGUAUGAUGCGGGCCAAUUCUCAACCAAAAGCAAAUGUAGAUUGUAAAGGCAAGGCAAACUGUGGAAAUGAAGGAGUAAAUGCCCAAGACAGGGAAUGACCACCUUGAAAAGGUGCCUGAAGUGUUUGAUUUGACCACUGUGGGAAAUGAUUCUCUUAUUCCAGCCAAUACCAUGCUUUCUAAAUCGACUGAGGCGAAUCUGUGGGGUGCUGAAGGUUACUAGAAAUUUUUCUCAUCUAAUGGGGUUGUCGUAGGGCCUAUUUGGGUGGGUGAAUCUGUGUCCCCAGAGAUGUACAAAUUGGCCAACUAUAUGUAUAACCCUGUUCUUAGUGAUUUGCAUGUGUUGUGUGACUACACCAACUUGCAAGUGGAUCGCUACUGCAUGCAGUCAUUGUUUCCUGACAAACGAGUUCGCGGGG